CUUAGUGGCCUGCUGGUGAGAUCAGAGAAAGAUAAUGGUGUCCCUGCUCUCUGCUUUUGUAAACUCCAUCAUUGUUAUGUGACUAGAGUAAGUGAUCUUUUCAUUAUUAUACACAGGAAAAAGAAACAACGGGGGUGGGGGGUGGGGUGGGCAAGCUGGAGAGAUGGCUCAGUGGUUAAGAGCACUGACUGCUCUUCCAUAGGUCCUGAGUUCAGUUCUCAGCAACCACAUGGUGGCUCACAACCAUCUGUAAUGAGAUCUAGUGCCCUCUUCUGGUGUGUCUGAAGACAGCUGCAGUGUACUCAUAUACUUUAAAUCAUUAAAUAAAUAAACCUUAAAAAAAAAAAAAGUAAGGGGAGAAAACCAAUUUUCCUGCCCAGCUAUGAAUUCCGUAGAUAAUUUUAAUGGGCACCUUUGGCAUCUACCUUUAUAAACGCUUCUGUUAGCUCCCUCUGGCACAGCACACUGUUUGUCUCUAAAGCUGCCUUUGGCUAUCGGUGAGAAUAAACUCAUUUAAUCU
Molecule: long non-coding RNA, 520 nt
Filed under: Rattus norvegicus (Norway rat)
Lineage: Eukaryota; Metazoa; Chordata; Mammalia; Rodentia; Muridae
Description: long non-coding RNA NONRATT004199
Source: RNAcentral